AUGAGAUCUGUGGAUGGGAACAUGUCUCCAGUCGAGGUGUUGAUGAAGGAAGUUCAGAAAUGCUCAGACAAAUGGAGCAAGCAGACACAUGAAUCCACGUCGCCCUGGCCUUCAGAGGGGACAUUUGAUCUGAGGCAGUGUGCAGAGAUGCAGGGUUUUAUAAAAACCUAUAAGAUAAAAGACAAAUCUGUAAAGCGAGGCCUUAAACGGGAAAAAGAAAAUGCAGUGUUGCAAUUGUUUAUUAACUGUGCAAAAAUGAUGGGCAAAAAGACGACUCAAUGUGGUGAUAAUCAAUUUAAUCAGAUCUCUAAAACUAAGUCUCUUUCAGAUGCAUCCCAGAUGAAUGCAGAAGAAACAAAACCAUUAUGGACAAAGAAGCCAGUUCACCCUGUAGCUGAUCUAGAAGGGACAGACAGGGCAGUGAAAAGGGAUGAGUUGUUAGAACUGCCCGACAUUUAUUUAAACACAGAGAAAAUUUCAAUUGGAAAUUCCUGCAGUGAAAGUGAUCUGCGUGACAGAGCAGUUAGAUCACUGUGGGCUGAGUCAGAUGAGGAAUCAGUGUGUGUGGGUGACGAACGGGUAAAUGAGGUUUCUGAUGGACUUCCUCUGCUGAUCAAAAGGGCAAAGUGUCAAAAUCUGCCCUGGCCUUCAAGACCAGAUCAGAAUGAUCUGAAUGACACUGUGGAACUUUGCAACUUGUCACUAGAACAAAUAACUGAGCAUGUGAUUCAUGCUGUUGAGCUGCGUCAGAAGCAGGCACGCUGGCUGGUUGAGCAGACACCAUCCUCCUCUCUCUUUUCUCCCCCUCUUUUCGCUGCUGCUGGCGUGUUGCUUCUUUCACUGCCUCCUUUGCCUGCUUCUGACGCAGCUCAACAGCAUGAAUCACAUGGUCAGUUAUUUGGUCUAGUGACAAGUUGCAAAGUCCCACAGUGUCAGUCAGAUCAUUCUGAUCUGGUCUUGAAGGCCAGGGCAGAUUUUGACGCUUUGCCUCUUCGACCAGCAGAGGAAGUCCAUCAGAAACCUCAUUUACCCGUUCAUCACCCACACACACUGAUUCCUCAUCUGACUCAGCCCACAGUGAUCUAACUGCUCUGUCACGCAGAUCACUUUCACUGCGAGAAUUUCCAAUUGAGAUUUUCUCUGUGUUUAAAUAAAUGUCGGGCAGUUCUAACA
Molecule: long non-coding RNA, 1173 nt
Filed under: Betta splendens (Siamese fighting fish)
Lineage: Eukaryota; Metazoa; Chordata; Actinopteri; Anabantiformes; Osphronemidae
Description: lncRNA (ENSBSLG00000005261.1)
Source: RNAcentral